CUCUGGCCUUUGGCAGGGCAGGCUGGGUGCUGGCACAGAGACACACGGGCACAGGAGGUGUCAGCCACGCAGGUGCUUCCCAGAGGCGGAUGCGAGCCCCCACGGCCGCUGCCAGAGGCCUGGACCCACAUGAGGUCAGGGACUGGGAUGUGUGACCCCCUCCCUGCCCCAUCCAUGCACCUCAGUGGCUGCGGCACUGAUGCAGAAAAUGAGGAAGGGAUGGGGGUGGGGCGGGGGGGGUACGACCUCCCCCAGAAGGCCAGCUUCACCUGCUUGGGCCAUCGGUGGCCACGCUCUGAUGGACACUUCGUGCCUGCACAGCCGGGCCCACGCUGGAGCUGCCGGGAGAUGGAACGCGGCAGGUCAACAGUGUCCAAGCAAGGACGGUCCCAGGAUCAUCCACAGAAGGAAACUGGCAGCAGGCCCUCCACACAUGACCAAGGAAUCUGCAGUCCGCUAAGCGGGGAGGGCGCUGCCCACGUCAACCUACACAGCAAAGCACCCCUAGAGGAGCCAGCCUCAAAGGAAGCGCAGAGGAGGGAACGCGCCUGCACGAAGUCUCCUGGGAGAUCCUUCCCGAGGCGAAGACUAAGGCCAGAGCAGGGCCUUGCCACGCCCAGGGGCACUCAGCGGGAGGAAACCUGGAGGUGCCAGGAAUCCUGGCUCACAAGGAAGAAUCCAGAAAGGCAGGCUUGGUGCUGGUGAUGGCUGAACUGUGUCCCUCCACCCGACCUGCAUCUGAAGCCCUAACCCCAGGACCUCAGAAUGUGACUGCUUUUGGAGAUGGGGUCUUUAAAGGGAUCAUUAAUGCCUGGGCGUGGUGGCUCAUGCCUGUAAUUCCAGCACUUCAGGAGGCCGAGGCAGGUGGAUCACCUGAGGUCAGGAGUUCGAGACCAGCCUGGGCAACAUGGUGAAACCCCGUCUCUACUAAAAAUACAAAAAUUAGCUGGGUGUAGUAGCAGGUACCUGUAAUCCCAGCUACUCGAGAGGCUGAGGCAGGAGAAUCACUUGAACCCGGGAGGUAGAGGUUGCAGUGAGCAGAGGCCGCGCCACUGCACUCCAGCUUGGGUGACAGAGGGAGACUCCAUCUCAAAAAAUAAAGGGUCAUUAUAAAGGACAGUGAGGUCACGAGGGUGGGCCCUCAUCCGAUAUGACUUAUGUCCUUGUAAGAAAAGGCGAUCAGGACACAAACACGUACAGAGGAAAGACGCAGGGAGAAGAUGGCCACGGGCAAGCCAAGGACAGAGGCCUCAGCAGGAACCAACCCUGCUGACCCCCAAUCUUGGCCUUCCAGCCCACAGAACUGUGAGAACAUCAGCUUCUGUUGAAGCUGUCCAGGUGAUGGUACUUUGUCGCUGUGGGUGAGGUGAGGCCCAAUGGAGAGGCUGUGGGCAGCCUCCAGGGGCCAGGGCCAGGGUUUGAUGCCCCUGAAUGCAGCGAUCCACGGGGCCUUCUCCUGCCUCUGAGCCCCUCCCUCACCCCAGCCUUAGCCUCAUCCGGGGUUGCUGUUUCCCAUGGCCCCGUCCAGGCCGCAACU
Molecule: long non-coding RNA, 1537 nt
Filed under: Pan troglodytes (chimpanzee)
Lineage: Eukaryota; Metazoa; Chordata; Mammalia; Primates; Hominidae
Description: long non-coding RNA NONPTRT008295
Source: RNAcentral